Molecule: ribosomal RNA, 434 nt
Filed under: uncultured Lachnospiraceae bacterium
Lineage: Bacteria; Bacillati; Bacillota; Clostridia; Lachnospirales; Lachnospiraceae
Description: bacterial SSU rRNA
Rfam family: Bacterial small subunit ribosomal RNA
Source: RNAcentral
ACGGAAGGCAGCAGUGGGGAAUAUUGCACAAUGGGGGAAACCCUGAUGCAGCGACGCCGCGUGAUUGAAGAAGUAUUUCGGUAUGUAAAGAUCUAUCAGCAAGGAAGAAAAUGACGGUACUUGACUAAGAAGCCCCGGCUAACUACGUGCCAGCAGCCGCGGUAAUACGUAGGGGGCAAGCGUUAUCCGGAUUUACUGGGUGUAAAGGGAGCGUAGGCGGUUUGGCAAGCCAGAAGUGAAAACCCGGGGCUCAACCUCGGGAUUGCUUUUGGAACUGUCGAACUGGAGUGCUGGAGGGGCAGGCGGAAUUCCUGGUGUAGCGGUGAAAUGCGUAGAUAUCAGGAGGAACACCGGUGGCGAAGGCGGCCUGCUGGACAGUAACUGACGCUGAGGCUCGAAAGCGUGGGGAGCAAACAGGAUUAGAUACCCUGGUA